This is a long non-coding RNA of Diprion similis, 948 nucleotides long. RefSeq lists it as uncharacterized. NCBI's taxonomy places the organism in Eukaryota, Metazoa, Arthropoda, Insecta, Hymenoptera, Diprionidae. The record is from RefSeq and is a predicted model, not a curated record. The transcript has 2 exons.
UUCGAAUCCAGAAAUGCAGCAGCUUUCUAAAAAUAUUUGUACAAAGAUUGUGUUUAAAAAUGAAAAUCAAGUCAAAUGAUUCACGAUUUUUCUCUUCCACAAUUAUUACGAUACAUGCACAUGCAAAUUAAUAGAAUUUACAAGGUAGUGACGUACCUUCAAUAGCAAAUAUUAUUAUUAUACUAAUAAUAUCGAUUUUACUGUCAAGACGAAAAAAAAUGAUGACCACAUUGUAUUGGAUUAGGAUUAAAAAUGAAAAAAAAUUAUUUAGCUGUAGCUCGAUAAUCUAUGAGAGUCAAGUUGUGCUUUUUGAUGUUUAUCAGCAACCAUUAUAAAGACUGGUUUUACCAUCUAGCGUGUAGCCAUAGCUUAAAAGUUGAUCAAAUUAUUAUUAUAUAUACCGUUAAAUAUGCAUAUGUAUUCCAACCAUAUAAUCUAUAUCGUUAUAAGCUUGUAAAAUAAGAUUGACCAUUUGUUUCGAAAGAUCUUAAAAUUCGUCUCCCUACUCAUCAGUAAUUGUUAACAAGAUCCGAUAUUCGCGUUACUGAUUAUGAGUGGAUCCGACGGAUCCAUACGAUAAUUAGAAUCUUCAUUCAAUCGGUUCCUCAGGAACUUUGUAAAACCGCCGAACCGAUGAAACGAUGAAAAUCAACGAAGAGCCUCAGUACAAUUACAUAUUUGGUCGCAAUUUUCCAACAACAGAUAUUCAACGUCAAUUUAAACAUUAGAUCGGUACAGUUAUUGCACAUGACCCAUCGAGGCUCUUUGCUGUAGUUUUAUAUAUUAUGUUUCUUUAUCUAUGACUGUGAUAUAAAUAUAUUUGUAACUGUUAUAUUCUGUAAUCUUAUACUUUACAAUAAUCAUUAUCAAUUUUGGUUAGUACGAUAGCUGACAUCAUUUUGUUAUGUAUGUAAUUGUGCUAAUAAAAUGUGCGAAGUUGUAGCGCGA